GAUCCUGGCUCAGGAUGAACGCUGGCGGCGUGCCUAACACAUGCAAGUCGAACGAAGCACUUAUCUUGGAUUCUUCGGAUGACGAGAUAUUUGACUGAGUGGCGGACGGGUGAGUAACGCGUGGGUAACCUGCCUCAUACAGGGGGAUAACAGUUAGAAAUGACUGCUAAUACCGCAUAAGCGCACGAAGACGCAUGUCUUUGUGUGAAAAGCCGAGA
Molecule: ribosomal RNA, 218 nt
Filed under: uncultured bacterium
Lineage: Bacteria
Description: partial 16S ribosomal RNA
Rfam family: Bacterial small subunit ribosomal RNA
Source: RNAcentral